AAAAGUAUUGAGCGAAAAGAUACACGGGCAUUACGAUCAUCAUAUAAGAUCAAACAUUAACCUAGAAGCAAAAAGGGUCAAAACUCACCUCAAUGGAAGAAAUCUCUUCCAAAGCUCCAAAAGAGAGCUAGAACCCUUCCAAUCCAAGCCAAAGGAAGAUUCUAAACCAACUAAUUUAGCCCCAAAAGUCCUAGAUCAAAAA
Molecule: long non-coding RNA, 202 nt
Filed under: Ananas comosus (pineapple)
Lineage: Eukaryota; Viridiplantae; Streptophyta; Magnoliopsida; Poales; Bromeliaceae
Description: long non-coding RNA (ACOM_LNC041043)
Source: RNAcentral